This 69-nucleotide transfer RNA is filed under the name Marmota monax (woodchuck). It matches the Rfam family "tRNA". From Rfam's summary of the family: Transfer RNA (tRNA) molecules are approximately 80 nucleotides in length. Their secondary structure includes four short double-helical elements and three loops (D, anti-codon, and T loops). The record is from Rfam by way of RNAcentral. Lineage: Eukaryota; Metazoa; Chordata; Mammalia; Rodentia; Sciuridae.
GGAGUUGUAGCUCAGUGGCAGAGCACUUGCCUAGCAGGUGUUAGGUACUGGGUUCAAUUCUCAGCACCA